Molecule: ribosomal RNA, 1266 nt
Filed under: Triticum aestivum (bread wheat)
Lineage: Eukaryota; Viridiplantae; Streptophyta; Magnoliopsida; Poales; Poaceae
Description: partial small subunit ribosomal RNA
Source: RNAcentral
AUGGCACCGCAGCCGCCUCUCUUCCCUCCCGCUGCCUUCGACCGCGGCGGCGGCGGCCUCCCUUCAUGGGACCCCAGCCGCACCUCCAACCCUUCCUUCGACCAGGGCUUCCUCAAGGCGGCCUUCGACGGCGAGCUCCACCUCGUCAAGAAGGCGGCGAGGGUGGUGGGAAGGGGGGCGGAAGGCAGUCGCCUCGCUGAGAAGAUGGGCGCGGUCAGGGACGGCUACGGCAUGGGCUUGUUGCACACCGCGGCCCUAGGCGGGAGCCUGUCCGUGUGCCGCUACCUGGUCGAGGACAUCCGGCUGGAUGUCGAUGACGUAGGCCCGAUGGGCGAAACGCCUUUGACUGUUGCGAUUGGCCGUCAGAAUGUGGAUUUGGUGCGCUACUUUCUUGAUCAAGGUGCUGCUACAAUGAAGCUCAACGACAGUGGGAGUACUCCCCUCCACCUUGCUGCUGCAGCAGGAAGCUGUGAAAUAGUUGAGCUCUUACUCUCCAGUGGAGCUUAUGUUGAUGCACUACAUCUUGGUGGGACGGCACUGCAUUCUGCUGCCCGUGAUGGGCGGGAUGAUAUUGUGAAAGUUUUGCUAGACCACCAUGCAGACGCUGGUGCUGAUGUGGAUGGUAAUUGUAAAGAGACACCAUUGAUCAUUGCUGCCAUUAGUGGCUCAACUGAAAUCCUGAAGUGCUUAGUUCUGGCUGGUGCGGAUGCUAAUGUUCCUGACAGUUUAGGACGAGCUCCUAUUGAAAUUGCUGCCCGCUCUGGUAGGCGUGAAGAUGUUGAGAUUCUAUUUCCGGUCACUUCUCGUAUUCCAAAUGUACGUGACUGGAGUGUAGAUGGGAUCAUUAGGCAUGUAAAAUCAGUGCGUCCAGUGAAGAAAGCCAUGCUUACUAGUGCAAAAUCUAAAGCGCAUGAGGCGUUCAAGAACGGGAACUAUUAUCUUGCAGCAAGAAUUUACAAAGAGGCAAUGGCACUUGACCCUGGUAAUGCAACCUUGCUUUCAAAUAGGAGUCUAUGCUGGCUUCGCCUCGGUGAUGCAAAGAACGCCUUGAAUGAUGCUCAAGCUUGCAGUAUGAUGCGACCUGGCUGGCCAAAGGCCUCAUAUCGUCAAGGAACUGCUCUAAUGUUACUGAAGGACUAUGAAAAGGCAUGUGAUGCAUUUCUUGAUGGUCUUAAAUUGGAGCUUGGGAACGUAGAGCUGGAAGAUGGAUUACGGCAGGCUUUGGAAUCCUUGAAGAUAUAUUGCAGUAGCCCUGGGCAAGACUAG